Solea senegalensis (Senegalese sole) is the source of this 1519-nucleotide long non-coding RNA. RefSeq lists it as uncharacterized. The transcript has 3 exons. The record is from RefSeq and is a predicted model, not a curated record. NCBI's taxonomy places the organism in Eukaryota, Metazoa, Chordata, Actinopteri, Pleuronectiformes, Soleidae.
CUCUGCCGUCGCAUCAUGAGUGCACGUACGCGAGGAGUGAAACAUUGAGGAAGGGUAAGAGUUCUGUAACAUAAUUACGACGACGAAGCUUCUCCACUUUGUUGAGAGUGCAGACCGGGUCCCUGACAUCGCUCGGUAGUGGAGCAUCACUCGGUCAGGAGUGAAAAGAUUCCUGUGGAUGAUUCCAACGACUUCCAGCAAAUCCCAGUAGAUGGCGAGCUACCCAGUUUGAAUUCAGGAAACAGGAUCUACACUUUCUCGGAAAUAGCAGACAAACAGUCUGCUUGUGGUAGGAUUGUGCCAGUCACCUGUGGCACCAACUCAAACACACAUUAGAAAGAGUGCACUCCAACGAUCCGACAUGUGGAUUCCCGACCUUUGAACUCAGACAGAUCAGAACUCCUCUGAUCGUAAAUAACUUAACAUUUUAAUUUCUCUAAAGGGCCCAGUUUUUUUAUUUUCUAUGCAAAUGUUUAUUUCUUUGUAUGUUGCAUAGUGUUAUGUUGCAAACUAAAAUGCAAAGUGCAGUUAAUUUAAACCUGUGGUGUUGCUGUGGUCAUUGCACUCUAAUCCUUGCUCCUUACGAACCGAGGGAAGCGUGUACUUUCCAGGAGUGGGUUACAGAUCUUUGUCAGAAUUUAAAUUCAUAAACCAGCAAUAUUCACUGAAGACGUAACGCUGUCACCAUGCAUUUUGAUUGUUAUGCAUCACAUGCAUUGUGUUGUCACAAUGCACAUGCAAGUCGAUGGCAAUUCAAACUAUUACGCUGAUGGAAAGAAUUCCUAAAUAGGGAACAUUUGGCAUGGGACACAGCUGUAACAUAGGCACAGUUACAUCACUGGCAUUUGGGGCUUAUCUGUAGUUUCAUUCUUGUCAUUAUUCUUAUUGGUUAUGAUAAAGCUGUGUUCAUGUAAGUCAAACCUAAACUGACAAUAAAAACAUGAGAUCACCUGAUGGCUAAAGCUAAACUUUUCUGGUGGUUACUCGUAGCUUGUGAACCCUCAAAAUACACUUGAUAUGGCAACCCUGUCUUGUAAAACUUACAGUCCUUACAAAACUAAACUGCGUUCUCAAUUUAGCUUUAUAUGGAACACAGUGAUGUGUGACGUAGAGGAUGGUUUGUAAAAACAAAAACUACACUAUUCCUAGUUCCAGUUAUUUGCAGUGUUAUGAGUAAAUUCCACAUGGAGAGGGAGGUUUUUGAGACCACAUGCUGUCUCUUUCCUAACCCUUACUAGGUGCCUUAGGUGCAUAAACAAUACCAUAUUCAUUACCAGGAAAUGUGAAUUAUCAUCACUCUCAUUUGUGUUUAAAGUGCCACAAGCAGUACACCAUCCCAAUGUGUUGCAUGUCUACAGAAAUGUAAAUAAUUAACACAAUACUGUUUCAUAAAGCAGCAAAAAACAUGUUCCCCACAAUAUGUAUGCAAGUAUCCAGUUUAGUUGUGUGGGAGCCUACGUUUUAGUAAAAACUGGACAUGUCAAUUAGUCGUGCAUCAUUACAGCAGUACAGGAAAUAA